Molecule: long non-coding RNA, 474 nt
Filed under: Zostera marina
Lineage: Eukaryota; Viridiplantae; Streptophyta; Magnoliopsida; Alismatales; Zosteraceae
Description: long non-coding RNA (ZMAR_LNC001516)
Source: RNAcentral
CGAUUGUUGUCACGCGGAUCAUCGAUCGUCGCCAGACUUAAAUCGAUCAACCUCCAUCGGCACGUCUCCUCCGCAUUCGCACCUUUCACGACCGAAACCCUGCAGCCACCACCAUCAGAAGAUGCAGUAAGAUCGAAACUAUCGAACACGUCUCAAUCCGACGACGGAAAUAGAAUCGAAGGUGGAGGAGAAUUCGAAUUUGGUCACGACGGCCACUACUACCAACCGCGAUUGCUGUCACGCGGAUCAUCGAUCGUCGCCAGACUUAAAUCGAUCAACCUCCAUCGGCACGUCUCCUCCGUAUUCGCACCUUUCACGACCGAAACUCUGCAGCAACCGCCAUCUGAAGAUGCAGUAACCACCUCUGAUCGUAAGGAAGAGAUCCAGAAAGAGCCAGAGAUGGAUCAAGUCGACUCGGAUUCAGUACUGACGAUGGAAGAAGCUUACAUGGCGGCCAAGAGAGGCAACACUAAC